Molecule: long non-coding RNA, 319 nt
Organism: Carcharodon carcharias (great white shark)
Lineage: Eukaryota; Metazoa; Chordata; Chondrichthyes; Lamniformes; Lamnidae
Exons: 4
Source: RefSeq, a predicted model, not a curated record
ACUCCUCCUCCCCCAGCCACCCCCCCAGGAAACAGUAACGGCCUGCACAGGAGUGGAACAAUCAUCAAACCGAUAGAAACCUUUGAGCAGAGAGUGCUCGACAUGAAUAGGAAUUCAAAAAGAGAGGAGCCAGAAUCUCUGACCAUUUGGAACUGCUGGCAAAGUUCGACAGAGUCACCCGCAGGCAUUUUCUGAAGUCAACAAUCAAACAAUUCACAGUGUGCGAGAUGACCAGAUCCAAACUGACAAACAAAAGCAAUGGAGUUGUUCGAGCAAAGUCUGUUGAUUUGGAGUUUCAAACAUUGAGCCUUUGUUGAAC